GCAAUUUUUCUAAAAUAUCAAAUUGUCUUGAUAGUACUUUUAAAAUGUUAUUUUUUGUAAUAAAAACAUUAAGGUGGGAAAAAACGCAGGAAAACGUACAAUUUCACGAUUAUUUUUUACUUUCUUACGGUAUCAUUACUAAAACUUUUGAGCCAUUUUUGAGCUUUUAAGGAAUUUUAAUUUGUGGAAUUUUGUUUGCUUC
This is a non-coding RNA of Cinara cedri, 202 nucleotides long. NCBI's taxonomy places the organism in Eukaryota, Metazoa, Arthropoda, Insecta, Hemiptera, Aphididae. The record is from the annotation of a GenBank genome assembly.